RNAcentral lists this long non-coding RNA (520 nucleotides) under Mytilus galloprovincialis (Mediterranean mussel). The record is from RNAcentral. Lineage: Eukaryota; Metazoa; Mollusca; Bivalvia; Mytilida; Mytilidae.
GCUCUGCAAAAAUAAAACAUCUGAAGUUACUUUUUCUGAACAGAAUAUAUUUUGAACUUGAUCUGUAAACUUGUUACUGCUUGUCAUAAUCUACAAAAAAUAUAACUAUAAUCAUUAUAUUAAGGGUUCCCCUUACAUGUCAAUGAUGUUUAACCCCGCCACUUUCUGUAUAUGUAUGUGCCUGUCCCAAGUCAGGAGCCUGUAAUUCAGUGGUUCUUCUUUGUUGCUUUGUUAGUUACAUAAUGAUAUUUGUUUUUUGUUCAUUUUUUGGUUUAUUAAUUCAGCCAUUAGUUUUCUUGUUUUAAUGUUUUACAUGUACAUUUGUGAUUUUGGGGCCUUCCAUACAUGUAAAUGUAGCUGAGUAUGUGAUAUUGGCUUUGCUUAUUGUUGAAGGCUGUACAGUGACCUUAAGCUGUUACUUUCUGUGAAAGUUUGUGUCUUGUGGAGAUUUGUCUCAUUGACAAUUAAUUCCACGUCUUUUUUUAGGUUGUAUCGUCUUGUUGUAGUUAUUGAUUCAUAC